RNAcentral lists this ribosomal RNA (465 nucleotides) under Triticum aestivum (bread wheat). RNAcentral's name for it is "partial small subunit ribosomal RNA". Lineage: Eukaryota; Viridiplantae; Streptophyta; Magnoliopsida; Poales; Poaceae. The record is from RNAcentral.
AUGUGGAUUUUUGGGGCAAUGAUGAUGUUUUUCUACUGGGCUUAUUCUGCGAGGAAUGAUGACAUAUUUGUUUUGUCUAGCAUAAAACCUGAAGCUGCAGAGGACUUAAACUGCCAUGGUGUGACAUAUUAUUGUUUGGCAAUAGUCACUGAGGUUUCUAUGGUUGAUGAAUACCAGAACAGCUUCAGAGUCAAAGUUGCAAAGAAUAUUGGUCUGGACGAAGACUUAAACAAACUCGAACAUGCAAUAUUUCUCAAUAAUAUCACAAUAAACGUACGGAUAUGGAAAGCACUUACCUGCAAAACGCACAUGAAUGACAAUUUCACACUAAUCAAGUCCCUCUUAGCCCCCACAAAUCUGGGUGAGGAUGUUUGUGGUAUCUGUGUUAAACAGGAUGGAGUCUGUUUGGCUUCUUUCGCAGAGACAUCCGGAAAUUAUUGGGCGAGGAUGCUACUGAAUCUGUGA